CAAAAGAGCAGGCUGUUGGCAGUGAGCGAGUGAGUGAAUGGAUGAGCUGUUGAUGAGAAUGCAAGCGUGGCCUUUUAGGGCAACGCGUUGCAUUUCCAUGUGGCAGAGAGCUAAGGAAACCAGACGAACGGACAAAAAUUUGUAUGCAUAUACACAUACAUAUGUAUGAAUGCAUUCUAGAGACAUUUCCUGCGACAAUUCGAUUGCGCAUGGCUAUGUAAAACCCAAAAUUGUGCACUUCCACUUCCGUAUUUAAUGGAAAUGUAUGACAAGAAAAUCAAAAAAAUGUCAGAAAAAAAUAGGUCAAAAAUUAAAACGGAUGAAAUAUGCAAAAUACUAUUUCCCGCAGCUGAACUGUGGUCAAAAAAGAAAAUGUUGAGGAAUUUAUUGAAUACACGAAAAUAUUGAACAAUCUAGAAUCUAGGUGUCUAGUAGCACACCUUUAUCUACAUACAUAUGUACAUAUGCACACGCAACAAAUUUGUUAGCUGUCAAAGCAUCUCAGGCAAAACUAACGAUUCACUUGUUCUACACCGUAUAUGUAUACCCAGCAGAAAAGCAACAUAGGAACCAGCUAUAGAUAUACACCGACACAAUACGCGACGAAUACAAAAAAAAAGUUUAAGUAAAAAAAGUUGAAGCGCAACAAAAAAUAUGUAGGACAAAUGCGACGAGAAAACUAAAAAAACCAGUCAGCCGUCAGAGUUCUAAAUCAAGUUGAGAAAUCAGAGAGUGAGUAAGAGAACGGUUGCAAUCCAAAUACAAACAGAAAUAUGGAACACCAAAUGGUUAUUGAGUAAUUAGAAUUAAAUGAAAGCUUUGUAAAAUUGCAUAUGUAUUUAGUGUCUCAAGGAAAAAUAACAAUAAAAAAACAUCAAGCAGAAGAGAGAGCGGCUACAUACAUACAUAUGUAUAGCCGCUUCCAAGUGAACGCCAACAGAACUUUAAACUAAAAGAGCACUCAAAAAAAUUAGCGUGGCCAAACAUUACUGCGUCCAAAAGUUGUCGAGGCGGCCGCGCGGGCUGUUGGCUAAGGAGCUUAGAAAACGUGACAUCAACAAACGAGCAAUCAACGAAUGACAUGUAUAUAGUACAUUCACAGUGGUGUCCGCAUAAUCAGGGGCAAUCUUCUUUACAAGUUCUAAGCAUUUCGACAACUGAAAGGAAGAUCGACCUA
This is a long non-coding RNA of Rhagoletis zephyria (snowberry fruit fly), 1177 nucleotides long. RefSeq lists it as uncharacterized. Lineage: Eukaryota; Metazoa; Arthropoda; Insecta; Diptera; Tephritidae. The record is from RefSeq and is a predicted model, not a curated record.